Molecule: long non-coding RNA, 177 nt
Organism: Rana temporaria (common frog)
Lineage: Eukaryota; Metazoa; Chordata; Amphibia; Anura; Ranidae
Exons: 3
Source: RefSeq, a predicted model, not a curated record
GAGAGGAGACGUGUUGCUGGAAGUGGCAGCAGAGGAGACAGGAAGCCACUAUGAAAGACAGGAAGUGAUGUCACGACAGGAAAUUCCAUGUGGUUUGAAUUAGAGAGGACAAAUUGCUCGACCUGGCAGAGCAGAGGAGAAAGCUUACAAAAAUAAAAUGAUGACGCAAAUGAGGAU